RNAcentral lists this non-coding RNA (30 nucleotides) under Rattus norvegicus (Norway rat). Lineage: Eukaryota; Metazoa; Chordata; Mammalia; Rodentia; Muridae. The record is from RNAcentral.
GCUGACACACACUACACUGUCUCUGUGACC